This 238-nucleotide unclassified non-coding RNA is filed under the name Archaeospora ecuadoriana. RNAcentral's name for it is "partial contains 5.8S ribosomal RNA and internal transcribed spacer 2". The stretch from base 1 to 71 matches the Rfam family "5.8S ribosomal RNA", at positions 84 to 154 of the family's 154-position model. The record is from RNAcentral. Lineage: Eukaryota; Fungi; Glomeromycota; Glomeromycetes; Archaeosporales; Archaeosporaceae.
GUGAAUCAUCGAAUCUUUGAACGCAUAUUGCACUCUCUGGUGUUCCGGAGAGUAUGCCUGUUUGAGGGUAAUUAAAAAGAAUCUUUACCAAUUUUUUUUGGUCAAAGUAAAUGAGUUCUCCGCGUUUAUAGCGGUAGUUUGAAAUAAAUGGUCAAGUCUCAUUUUAGUCGAGACGCGUAAUAAUAUUAUUUUGCGAAAUCUUUAUUAUAUAACUAUCAAGUUUUUCCGCGUCCAAAUU